RNAcentral lists this ribosomal RNA (255 nucleotides) under uncultured bacterium. Its description in RNAcentral is "partial 16S ribosomal RNA". It matches the Rfam family "Bacterial small subunit ribosomal RNA", at positions 524 to 776 of the family's 1533-position model. The record is from RNAcentral.
UACGUAGGGUGCAAGCGUUUGUCCGGAAUUAUUGGGCGUAAAGAGCUUGUAGGCGGUUUGUCGCGUCUGCUGUGAAAUUUCGGGGCUCAACCCCGAACUUGCAGUGGGUACGGGGCAGACUAGAGUGUGGUAGGGGAGACUGGAAUUCCUGGUGUAGCGGUGAAAUGCGCAGAUAUCAGGAGGAACACCGAUGGCGAAGGCAGGUCUCUGGGCAUUAACUGACGCUGAGGAGCGAAAGCAUGGGGAGCGAACAGG